GACGAACCACACGAACGUUAUUCGGAAUUACUGGGCUUAAAGGGCGCGUAGGCGGCCGGGUUGGUCGUGGGUGAAAUCCCCCAGCUUAACUGGGGAAGGGCCUACGAUACUGCCUGGCUCGAGGGAGGAAGGGGCGGUCGGAACUGUCGGUGGAGCGGUGAAAUGCGUUGAUAUCGACAGGAACGCCGGUGGCGAAAGCGGACCGCUGGCCCUCUUCUGACGCUGAGGCGCGAAAGCCAGGGGAGCGAACGGG
This 253-nucleotide ribosomal RNA is filed under the name uncultured bacterium. RNAcentral's name for it is "partial 16S ribosomal RNA". It matches the Rfam family "Bacterial small subunit ribosomal RNA", at positions 524 to 776 of the family's 1533-position model. The record is from RNAcentral.